UCUGCUCCUGCUCCCGCUCCCGCCGCAACCACCCCGUCUCCCUUCUCAUUCAGCUUCGACUUCUCCAACGCAUCCACCUACCACAUAGAAGACCUGAAAUUCGAGGGGGAUGCGACCGUUCAUGGCGACCUGGUUGACCUCACCUGUAACACUUACAAGAUGAACCCCACUUUCUGUAUGGGACGGGUGUCGUACCGGCACCCGGUGCCGUUCUAUGACAACGUCACCGGCGAGGUGGCCAGCUUCCAGGCGCGGUUCACCUUCGUGAUCCAUAUCGACGACGAUACUAAGAACAACAAGGGGGACGGCAUGACUUUCUUUCUUGCCUCUUACCCGUCAACUAUGCCGCCAAACUCAGGCGGGGGUAACCUCGGCAUGAUGCCCUUAGGCAACGGCAAGAGCCCAACCGCCUUCGGGAAUGACCGGUUCAUCGCGGUGGAAUUCGACACCUACGACAACUACUGGGACCCCAACACCACCUACGACCACAUUGGCAUCGACAUCAGCUCUGUCAUGGACUCGGUGAACACGACAAUACUGGAUAGCUUCAGCCUCAAUGGCACCAUGACGGCCACGGUCACCUUCGACAACACCACCCGGAUGCUGGUAGCAGACCUGCAGUUUGAUGACCAGAGUAACAAUCUCCCGGUUCGGGUCACCACGCAAUUACCCGAUCCAGUCACCUUGCUCCCGCCUCAGGUGGCCAUUGGGUUUUCUGGAGCCACAGGCGCCAGCUUGGAGCUGCAUCAGAUACUAUCAUGGUCCUUCAACUCCUCGCUUGCUCCGCCCCACAAAGAUCAUGACAUGAAGGCUGCAAUUAUUGGAGGGUCGCUUGGAGGAGCUGUAGCAUUGGUGGUUAUGGUGUGGUGUAUCAUUGCAUGUUUCAAGUGGACAUGGAGCACAAGCCAUGACCUUGUAGCACAAACUGGAGGACCCAGACGGUUCGACUACCGUGAUCUGGCUUCUGCAACAGACAACUUCUCUAAGCAAAGGGUUAUUGGGAGAGGUGCCUUUGGAGAAGUCUACAGGGGUACAUCGUUGAACUCAAAAGAAUCAUAUGGUGGCGAGGUGGCUGUAAAGAAGAUCUUGAACAAGAUAAGGGGAGGAAAUCAGGACUUCUUCACUGAGAUGAACACCAUUAGCGAAGCGAAGCAUAGGAAUCUCGUCAAGAGUUUUGAAUUUCAUGUGCUGAAAUCACAAAACGAAAUCCAAAAUCUUGGCUGGUGUUGCAUGAAGAAAAAGGAUGAAGAGCUCUUCCUUGUCUAUGAGCUGGUGCCUAACGGCAAUCUGCACCACCACCUACAUGAGACAGAGCAGCCAAUACAGUGGCCAACAAGGUACCAAAUCAUCAAAGACAUUGGCUCUGCCCUUGUUUACCUCCACCAUGACUGCGCCCCACCCAUUCUGCACAGAGACAUCAAACCAGGCAACAUCCUCUUAGACAACAACUUCAACGCCAAGCUUGCCGACUUCGGGCUGUCAAGGAUCGGCAACCAAGACAACGUGACGCUAAUGACGACUGCUGUUGGGACAGAAGGGUACAUAGAUCCAGAGUGCAGGAAAGCGGGGAAAGUCAAGUUCAACCUUAGCUCAGACGUCUUCAGCUUCGGGAUCGUCCUCUUGGACAUCACGUGCACGGGAAAGUCCAGGGAGCAGGUCUGGGAUCUGUAUGUAAGAGGCAGGGUGAUGGAAGCUACAGAUGACAGGCUACAUGGUUGUGGCGACUCGGACAUGAGGCAGAUGGAGCGUGUGGCUAUCCUAGGGCUCUGGUGUUCUCUUCCUGACAGUAGGAAGAGGCCUACCAGUAAGGAAGCAAUGGAGGUCCUCGAACGUGGUGUGUCGUUGCCUGACCUUAACCACCUGUUGAACACUACUUCGGUGCCCUCCUCAAUGCAACAAGAUACCUACACUACUAGUAGCUCGGGCCCACAAGCACCGACGUCAGAUGAAAGCCCAUUUGGUGAGCGGCAUGCAUGA
RNAcentral lists this ribosomal RNA (1977 nucleotides) under Triticum aestivum (bread wheat). RNAcentral's name for it is "partial small subunit ribosomal RNA". The record is from RNAcentral. Lineage: Eukaryota; Viridiplantae; Streptophyta; Magnoliopsida; Poales; Poaceae.